GAAACAGCAAGGGCAAAACCCUCCAGUGAGCAUGUCCUGCACGAUGGAGGAGCAAGCUGGUUCCACUCCCAACUAGCUGCCCACCUGCCUCCCAGCGGUGAAGGACAGAGAUCUCAUUCAGCAGGAGAUAAAACAAGAUCCAAGGAGAAG
Molecule: long non-coding RNA, 150 nt
Organism: Microtus oregoni (creeping vole)
Lineage: Eukaryota; Metazoa; Chordata; Mammalia; Rodentia; Cricetidae
Exons: 3
Source: RefSeq, a predicted model, not a curated record